AAAGGGGGUUAUUGAGAGAUUGAGCAAUUGGAAUUACUUUCUUUUGGGUUAGUGGUUGAAUACGAGUGUUUGAAGAUUCCCAUUGCUUAGAUUGAGUUGGGGAAUCUAUCAUUUCUUUGGUGCUUAACCUAAUCCCUCAUUUAGAUCAUUAUCAGAAAUUUUUGUUCUUUUGCAUAUUGGCAACUGCGGCUUUUGAAUUUGAGCAUUGAUUGGACAUCAAAUAAACUGAAAUUUUGACCUUUGACGUAUUCCUUGAACUCGAACGUUUGGCGGGAAGUAAACAGGAAGAAGGAUCAUAUCAACAAUUGGUUAAUGUUGGAAAGUUUGGGGUUUUAGGUUUUGUGAACUUGGAAGGCUUAUAUUGUCGUAAAUUUGGACAUUUUGGGUGUCAUUGAAAUUAAGGUUGAGGGACUAAAUCUAAUUGCUACAGCUGAUAUGUGCAGUAAUUGGGAGUUUAUCUUAUGGCACCAACUGUUCCAAUAGACUUCACUGGACAGAAAGAAUCAAGGAAGUGUUUGCUUUCACAGAUGAUGGGAAAGUCACGUAAGUACUCUAAAGGGCAUUUAUCUGGUUUUGUUCCAGAUUACCGGCAUGCUGUCGAGACCAUUGCUGAAUCAGAGGGGUUUGGAAGCUCAGGACGGGUUGACACAGAAAUGACAGCUUCAGAGGAUUCAUGUGCGCCUAAAAGGAAAUGCAUUAGUCUGAAUGUGGAUGGUUAUGAUGGUUUUGGGGUGCCUAUGCAAGUGUUGCCGUUGUCACGGAUGUCACGGUCUGAAAGGAAGGAUUUGGAAUCGAGGCUGAAAUUGGAGCUCGAACAGGUGCGGAUCCUUCAGAAGAAAAUUUCUACCGUAAGUUCAAAUGUUGCUGUAUUAUCGCCAUCCAGUGAUAUUCGGAGUUGCAGUGAUGGCAAAAAGAGGCCCCCACUUGAUAGUUAUCAGAGAUCAUUGGAAUUUUCUGCGCCACAAGCUAAGAAAAGGGCUCCUCCUGGCCGCAAUGGUGCCCGCACAAAAAAAAGCAUGUCUGGGCCUGUCGAGCCAACGAAGCCGGUGGCUCCAGCAACCACUUCAAAUUCUAUGUUGUUGAAACAAUGCGAGCAGUUGCUAGGCCGCUUGAUGUCACAUCAGUUUGGUUGGGUUUUCAAUACUCCCGUUGAUGUGGUGAAGUUGAACAUACCAGAUUAUUUUACAGUCAUUAAGCAUCCAAUGGAUUUGGGCACUGUGAAGAGCAAGAUAACAUCAGGCAUAUACUCAUGUCCAUUAGGUUUUGCUGCUGAUGUGCGGCUUACUUUCUCAAAUGCUUUGACUUACAACCCACCUGGAAAUGAUUUUCACUUUAUGGCCGAGACGAUUAGUAAAUAUUUUGAACAGAGAUGGAAAGGCAUAGAGAAGAAGCUUCCAGUUACUACUGAUGUGCAGUCUUUGCCUUCAAGGGUGGCUCUUCGCGUGGAAACUGUGACUGCUGCACCUAUGCCACCCUCAAAAAAGAAGAAAAGUACACCAAAUGAUACUAGUGUCAAGCCUGAAGCUCUGAAACGCAUGUUGACUGAUGAGGAGAAGGCUAAACUGACCAUGGAGUUGGAGGCUUUGAUGGACGCAGAAGUGCCUCUAAAUAUUGUUAAUUUCCUACAAGAGCAUAGUCAUAGUGAAGGGCAAACCAAUGAUAAUGAGAUCGAGGUUGACCUUGAAGCUUUUAGUGAUGAUACCUUGUUUGCUUUACGGAAGCUUUUGGAUGACCAUCUGCUGGAGAAACAGAAAAGGCAGGCGAAAGCUGAACCUUGUGAAAUGGAGGUAUGUUCGUAGUUUUUUCUUAUAAUGUUUGCAUGUGUUAUCUGUUUAAAUUAGUUUUCCAACUGAAUAUGUGCAUGGAUUUCUUAUUGGUGUAUCACCUUUUUUUACUGCAGAUUCUUAAUGAGUCAGGAUUUAGCAACUCAUCAAUGCAACCAUGUAAAGGUUCAUUUUCAAUAACAGCUCUACGAAUAUUCAUUUAGUGAACUGUUAAAAAAAGGUCUUCUGCAAGGAACUUAUUUCUAACAGCACGGAUUGUUAUGACUUGCAUGUACCCAGGCAAUGACCCAGGCGAUGAGGAAGUGGAUAUUGUUGGUGGGAACGAUGCUCCUAUUUCAAGCUUUCCUCCAGUGGAGAUAGAGAAAGAUCCAGCUCACAGAAACAGUAAAUGCAGUAGCUCAAGUAGCUCCAGUAGUGAAUCAGGCUCUUCAUCCAGUGGUUUGUGUUUCUACCUACUUUUCAUUUAUGUAGGUUUAUAAAUUGUUUUCAAUGUUCUAGUUUUGGAGCUUGUUAGACAGAGGAUAUGCUGUUGAGAAGUACAUAUUUCCUCCUAUGCAAAUUAUUAUUUUACUAAAUGCCCUGUUUCUGUCUCUGUCUCACACACACACACGCAUAGAUACACAUGAAGUCUGAGGUGCAGCUUGAGAGUAAUAUUACAGUCCAUGAUUGUUAUCCCUGUCUGCCUUGACCAUUGCAUGAUAUGAUUGUUAUCCCUGUCUCCCUAAGCCAUUCAUUUUAGUGUCAACUGUCUUCUAUUAUUGUCUAGCUGUUCUGCUUCCUAUAAAGGCUAUGUUUUGCAUUACCAUAGUGUUAAAUUGGAACAUGGUCUUCUCAGCAGUUAAAGAAAAUGUUUGAAAUUCUAUCGCCCUUGUCUUGGUGGCUACACCUCUUUGCUGUGUAUGUUGCUUGCUUGAUAGGUUAUGUUUUGCAUUGCCAUAGUGUAAACUGGAACUUGGUCUUCGCAACAAUUAAAGAAAAUAAGUGAAAUUCAAUUGUACCGAGUAGUAAUUAAUGCUUUAGAACCUUUGCCUUGGUUGCAGCACCUCGUUGUUGUGUAUGUUUCAGUUUGAGACACUUUUUUAUGUGAAUCCAUUAGUUCUACAUUGAGUUGAUAUCAUUGAAUUUGCAUGUCUUUUUAGGAGUAAGAGGUGGCAUCUUAAUCAUUCUGAAACUGGUAUUUCUGAUAUACAAUAGUACAUGUAAUUUCAAUGGCACUUCAAGAGGCUCUUUUGUCAUUUUGAUGUGAGAGUUAGUAAUUAGGUUAUUGUGUUUUUAAAGAAAAAAAAUGGAAAGAAUGUGCGCAUGUUUUUGUCAAUUAACCAUUAUAAUGUUGACUUAGAUUUUCUGGAGAAAGUGUGGAUCACUUGAUUUGGAAUGCUGGUGUUGUUUUCUUUCUCCCAGUUUGUUAGAAUUAUGUCUACUCAUCUUGUAAAAAAGGAAUAAGGGUAAUGUAAGUUAUAUCCUUCUAGUUAAGGAAUAGGUGUAUCUUACUUGAUGUGAGUGAACAGUUGACUUCAUUUAGUGACUAGAACUUUUUGGAAAGGACUAGACCCCCAAUGCUGUAAUAGAUGUGUUGCAAAUACUGAGAUAUGAUAUGGUCCUAGCGGAUAGUGAAAUAAGUUUACAACAUAAAAGUGACUCUUACAAAAUCUGAAAAAAUUUAGAUUUUAAAAGUUCUACAAUUAUCUUGAACACGUUUAUUCCUUCAUGGUAUAUGAUGGGGUGGAGUUGUUGCAGUGUGCCCUCAUUAGUUUUAUCUCUUAGUAUGUAUCUUGUACUUAUGUGACACUAUAAAUUGAAGCAUACAAAAAAGUUUGUACAUUAUUGUUUGAAGAGACUCUUAUACGUUAUUUUAAAUUAAUGUCUUCCCUGCAUGCAUGCUAUGGGGCCAGACCAAUAAAUACAAGAUAUGAGUUGUUUUCCAAGGCUUACAGUAUUUAAAAAGUUUGAAUCAAAAUAUAUUGUGUUAUUGGUGAUCUUCCUGUAUGGUUUGCUUUGACAAGCCAAAGAAGUGAUUUCAGGAAUAACUGUGUAGCCUCCUAUGAAACUAUAAGAUACUUGUGUUAUCACAAUGGUUUUCUUGAAUGUUCCAGCAUUUUGUUCCAAAUAGAAUGACUCGUAUUUUUACAAUUUUGGGUGUUGCUCACAUGAUAUAAUUUCUUCACAGACUCCGACUCUGGCAGUUCUUCUGAAAGUGAAUCAGAUGAUGCUAAAGUUCCAGCUUCAUUUGGUGGAGGAAAGGUAUCAUCUUGUAAAAUUUUUAAACCUGGUUCUUCUGCUUUGUGUGGAGUUAAAUUCUCACCCAUCAAUCUCUCUCUCCCUCUCUCUCUCUCUCUCUCUCUCUCUCUCUCUAUAUAUAUAUAUAUAUAUAUAUAUUUGAGCCGCCAUACCCUCUCCCCCCACUGUAUCCUUCUGUUUGUUUGUAUGAGUUGUGGAAAAUAUUUCUUACAUCUUCAUUUGGCAGGAAAAUGUGGGUACUGGAGCAAAUUCAGACCAAAAGAGAAAUGAUAUUGGGGAUUCAGAAAUUGGCAAUGGUGAGUUGAGAAUUUAUGCUGCAUCUUUUACUUAUUGGAAUAGGUAGUUCAGGAGUGUUCUCUAAAAACCUCUGUCAUGACCCUUGUGCAGAUUCAAUAAAUGGGGUGGCCCCACUGGAUCAGGACUCCGGGUCUAAACCAAUUUCUGUUGAGGAGGGUGGACAUAGAGAGGGUAAGCAUGAAUAAUCAUCAAGAAAAAUUGUCUGCUCUAAAUUUUGGGGUACAAUCUUACAAUUCAUGCUGUAACAUCGUAGGGGAGAGUGCUCCAUCUGAGAGGCAAGUCUCCCCCGAUAAGCUCUACCGUGCAGCUUUAUUGCGGAAUAGAUUUGCUGACACAAUACUAAAAGCCCGAGAAAAGGCACUAGAAAAGGUCGGUUUCCACUUGCCACAUUGGGCAACCUACUAUUCAUUUUCCUUGAUGUGCCCAUCCAAAAUCUUCUUUGCAUUUUGCAUUUGAGAUGUGGUCAGUUCAUCUGAUAUUUGUGGUUCAGGGUGAAAAGCUGGAUCCAGAAAAAUUGCGAAUUGAAAGAGAGGAACUUGAAAAGCGGCAAAAAGAAGGUUUGGCUUUCAAAAUUUGAGUUAUCUGAGAUAAGAUGUGGCAUUUUGUGCAGUAGAAGUCAAUGUGGCCAUCAGUUUUGCAGUCGUUUAAAAUAUUCAAAUUUUCUUGUGUGUCAUUAGAGAAAGCACGUUUACAAGCUGAGGCCAAAGCUGCAGAAGAGGCUCGAAAGAAGGCUGAAGCAGAAGCUGCAGCCGAAGCUAAAAGGCAGAGGGAACUAGAGAGAGAAGCUGCACGUCAGGCAUUGCAAAUGGUAAGGGUGGAUGUAUUAUUAUGUUGGUGGAAGCAUUCUACAACCUUCUCUUAAUUAAACGACAGCUGAUGAAUAUCUGGCUUUAUGCAGAUGGAAAAGACUGUUGAAAUUGAGAAUAGUCAGUUUAUGGAAGAUCUAGAAAUGUUUAGGGCUGUUGAUGAUGAACAUGUGCCAAAUUUCACGGAGGAGACUAGCCCAGAGCAUUCUCAGAAUGAGCUUGCCAGGCUGGGUAGUUUCAAGCUACAAGGAAGUAGUAAUCCCUUAGAGCAACUUGGUUUGUUCAUGAAGGCGGAUGAUGAUAUAGAGGAAGAAGAAAUCGAACCUCCCCAGAGUGCUCCAGAAUCAGAACCCGAACCUGAACCAGAACUCGAACCUAAACCCGAACCAGAAGCAGCAAAUGAUGCCAUUGAAGCAAAUGAUGCCGUUGAAGCAAAUGACUUUGAAGAAGGAGAGAUUGAUUGAUGAGAUUUUUUGUUCAUGUUCUUGAUGUUCUUGUACCGACUGAGAAGCAAAAAUGGAAAAUGAUGGUCCUGAGGUAUUUGGGCAGUGACUUGGGAUCCUUUUAUAGGCUUUGUGGACCAUAAUAUUAUCUCUUUCCUGUUUGAGGUUUAGCUGUUAAGCCUGAAAAGCGGGAAGAAGAAGAAGUAGCUGGAGAAGAUGAGUCAUGGAUUGGGUUUUGGGUUUUGGGCUUGUGUUCUUUGAAAUGAUUUUUUGAUUUUCAUUUUGGGAAAUGGAGUGGACAUUUGGGGAGGUAAACCCCCAUUCAAAUCAAUUUUGCCCAUGGUGGAUGAUGAUGUGCUGUGGGUUUUUGAUGAAAGAAGGAAAAAUCCAAUUUUUGUCUGUAAAAAGCGUUAAUUUUAGGUGGUAGAAAAGGUCGGCUUUUAGAAUUGUAAAAUAUCAGUCCUCAGACUAUUAUGGCAUUCUACCCAUUUUUCCUGGGAAAAAAAGAUGUCUUCUAUUGGAGUUCUAGGAAUAAUGACAGAUUGGAUAUUAGAAAAACAAUUGGAACAUUUGUGUUUUGUCUUUCUGAUUUGAUUUUACUUUUGGCUAAAUAGCAUCAAAGCUACUGGCUUAAAUUUUAAGCAUUUCACUUCAUAAAUUAUAGUUGCUCUUUUCUUUUUGUUCUUUAAAUUUUGGAUUUUUAAUUUUCCAAUUUGAGAGAAUUUUAUAUUCAAAUUAGCAAACCAAUUGAGCAUCAUUUUUUUAGUACAAUCGAUAAUCUAAACUAAUUACAAGCUGUAGUUUAAACUACAAGGGAGGGGAUUUCUUACAUACACACAACUAUGAUGUCAUUCGGGUUUGAAUAUGAGACCUCUGGUUUGCAAGUCAAAGUCGUUUUUUUACUAGCUUAGACUCUGUUGACAUUAUCGUUGUUUUUUAAAAGAAAAAAACAAGAAAAAGGCAAAAGAUGAUCUAGAAAAUAUUGAUUAUAAAAAAGGAACUUUUUUGGUUCUUUUACAAAUGAAUGUGCAAACCGACUGUUGUUUGGUUCUUGGCUCAAACGACACGUCGUGUUUAGCGUCUUGUACACGAGUUUUUAUCAUAUUUAGCUAAAAUUUAGCCCUAAAAUUCAUAAAUGUUAAUUUUUAAAAAAACUUUCAAAUAUAGCCAAAAACUCACUUCAAUUGACCCAAAUGUCCUUUAAUUUAAAUCUCAAUUACACCUAAAACCCAAAAUAGCAUGAGCUCUAAAACAAAAUUGGCUUCGUCAACUCAGUCAUAUAUGCCUAUGAAUCCUAUCAUAAAUUUAUAAUUUAAAAAAAGGUUAAAAGGCAGUUUCUUGACAUAAUAAUUUUUAAUUGAAAAAAACAGAGUGGAACUUUCUUGCAAAAUUCGUAUCAUAAAUGAAUAAAUUUGUUUUUGGUCCGCAUUUGAUGUGGGGAUUAAACUUUCUUGCAAACCAGCAUAUGUGCUUCUGCCUUCCCUCAGCACAAGAACUCCAGAAAAAUUGCAAGGCAAACUAUCUGCCACGACACAAACUUGCCUAUAUUAACUUUGCUUUCCCUUAUACCUUUAUCAAACAAAAAUAAUAAUAAAAUGAAAUGGAAAAAAAAAGAGUAAAAAAAAUAAAUAUACAUCUAGUGUGGGUGCAUGUAAAACAUGAUAUUGUCGAUACUUGUUUUCCAUGAAAUGUAUGUAUCCAAACCCUUAAAAACUGCUGCAAAGAAAAUCCAUUAAGGGCGAUUGACAAGGGACGGUGUCCUUGUGUUUGAGGGUAGGGUGGGGGAGAGCGAGGCUUAGCCCCCUUGUGCUCAGUACUCUGCCGACGAUUUGGAAGAACAUGACAAUUAGCUCUUUUUCUUUUUGUAAGGUUUUAAUUUAGAGGUAUUUGGGACAAUUUAAGUGAGUUUUUGGAUAUAUUUGAAAGUUUGUUUAAAAAACUCCUUGUACACAGUACGCAUUUCCACCGAUAUGCUAAAACCCCUGCUCAGAGAGAGUACACGCCCAUCUUCACAUUCUUCCUCAGUUCUCAGUCUGAUAGAUUGAUCUUCUGGCGACCUUACUUGCCUCUGUCUCUUCCUCCUCCUCUUCUUCGUCUGUGGCACCAGCCAUUCUCAGACUCUCAAUGGCGGCCACGAUCGCCUUCAACGCCGUUGGAGCUUCGGGUCGACUCUCCCGCCAAUUAUCUCACCCACGAAGCUCCUAUCCACUUCUCGGCAGGAUCCGACUGCAUCGCGUUGCCCCGACCCGAUUUUCGAGAUCCUCAUCCUCCUCCUCUGGCUCUGGUAAAUGAAUCGCUUUUUCUUGUUAUGGUAAAUUGAAGUUUACAUCAGAACAAUUUGGUGAUGUUUUAAUGGAAAUGUAAUCAAAUAGCAGGAAUUAGGGCGCAGGUGGCGGCCGUCGAGCAAUCGAGCGCUGCUGUAGCUCAGAACGUGGAGGCUCCUGUGGUUAUCGUCACUGGAGCUUCUAGAGGAAUUGGCAAAGCUGUUGCGCUCGCUCUCGGCAAGUCUGGUUGUAAGGUCAUCAUCAUCAUCAUUCAUCAUUCACCAUUCAAUUGCUUUCUUCGAUGAGGCAUGACCAUAGGCUUCAUUUCACUGUUACAGGUUCUGGUAAACUACGCAAGGUCAUCUAAGGAAGCUGAAUUAGUUUCCAAGGAGGUACCUUUUUUGUUAAAAUAAUGGCCUUCAUGAAAUGCAUAUAUUGAAAUCAGUUCAUAGUUGAAAUAUUUGGUUUUAAUUAUAUCCCGCAUUUUAAACAUGUUUUAUUGCGGUUUAAAUGCUGCAGAUUGAGGCAUCUGGUGGUCAAGCUCUGACAUUUGGGGGUGAUGUUUCAAACGAAGAAGAUGUAGCGGCAAUGAUUAAAACUGUACGCAAAUGCGCUCUUUUAUGCUAACUACAUUUUUUUUUUGUGUGGUUGCAAUUAUCGCUAGCAACGUGACAUCUUUUCAAUCAAAUGAAUAUAGGUGGUUGAUGCAUGGGGAACAGUUGAUGUGUUGGUUAAUAAUGCUGGUCAGCAUCAUAUUACUUCUUGUAUUUAAGCUUCUUAUCUUGACUUUCCUUUCAAUUUCAAUUGACACAGUCCUUUUCAGGAAUAACACGGGAUGGCUUGUUGAUGAGAAUGAAAACAUCCCAAUGGCAGGAGGUUAUUGAUUUGAAUCUUACUGGCGUGUUUCUGUGCACACAGGUGUGUAGUUUAGGGCAUAUGUUGAUCUAGUAAUUGUAGUUGUUCAAGCUUAGAAUUGUCUGAUCUUUUUAGCAUGGUUUGUGCUUUUUGCAGGCUGCAGCGAAAGUUAUGAUGAAACAGAGAAAGGUAAUCAAAUUCUGUCUUCCUUUCUUGUAUUAUGUCAAUGUGAAAAUCCUAUUUUGCUUCUAGAUCCUUAGUCUGUUCAUCAUAUUUCAGGGAAGAAUAAUCAAUAUAGCAUCUGUUGUUGGUCUUGUUGGCAAUGUUGGACAAGCCAACUACAGUGCUGCAAAGGCUGGAGUAAUUGGCUUUACGAAGAGUGUCGCCAAGGAAUAUUCAAGCAGGAGCAUUAAUGUAUGUGCAUGUGAUUCAAGGUUUUUAAUUAAUUAAUUUUAUUAUCUGUUUUCGGUGUGUGGGGCUUCCCUGCUAAUACGUGUAACCCCACUCCACACUUAGCAAUGGCUAUGUGGUUUGUUUCAUGACAUUCAACAUUCAAGCAGAUAUAUUUUUAAAUUUCUUGCAUAUUUCCAGUCUUACGUGGUGGGCCUAAAGCAAUUAUCCAUCUAAAGCUUUCUUUUUUUCCAUAGGUCAAUGCUGUAGCACCUGGUUUUAUUGCAUCUGAUAUGACUGCCAAGCUUGGAGAAGACAUAGAAAAGAAGAUCUUGGGAACCAUCCCCCUAGGUGAGAAUAGUCAGUUGGCUACUAGUUAUUUAAGCAUUAUUAUCAAAAUCUAUCGUAGUUAAUGUGAAUUAUUGAGAGACUACUCGUGUUGGUUAUAUAACUUAGAUGAGAGAUAUAAAUGUUAUUGAGUCAUUGGAUUGGGAUGAUUGAAAUUUGAUUGAUUCUCUAAUUCUUCCUCCCUGGUUUGCCUAAACUUAAAGCCUGAUAUUUGAAGACUCACAUAUAAAUUAGAGAAAAUAAAUCAGUUUUAUAAUUCUUUCAGGGCGAUAUGGUCAACCUGAAGAAGUCGCAGGACUGGUGGAAUUCUUAGCGCUCAAUCCCGCUGCCAGUUACAUUACUGGACAGGUAAAUUUUUAUUAGAAAUCUGAUAAUUUUUCCUUGGACAAAUGGGAAAUGGCACCAUUUGAGCUGUCAAGUUUUGCACUGGUCCAUUGUAGGUAUUGACCAUUGAUGGAGGGAUGGUGAUGUGAGAGGCCAAGUCCUGCACCCCACGAGCUUCAUCUUACAGAAGGUUUUAAAUGACGCUUCAUCUUACAGAAAGUUUCAAACGAAGAGGCAUUUCUUUAUAUUCCAUUCUUGACCGGCUUCUAGUUUCAAACUGAAUAGAAGAGUAGAAGGAUAAUAUAUAUAUAUAUAUAUUUUUCGUUUAGCAAAGGUUGUUAAAAUAUAUUCUGUGACACUUGUGAACAGUGUAAGAGAAAAAAAGACUUGAUAGGAAUUAUUUUUGUGUAGUGGUUUCAGUCUCCAGAUGAUACUAAAGCGUUCUACUUUACUAGUUUAAAUUUUCAGGCUGUGUAUCGUUUAUAUGGGUUGCAUAUGAAGUCUUUUGUUAUUCUCUGUGUGGAGGUAGAAAAUCUGAAGCCUGUAGGCUUGCUUUUAACCACUUUGUAAAGCUAUUGGUCGAAAGGCCACAUAGCCCUCCUUUGGGUUUGGACAAAUCUUUUAACCACUUUGUGGAUAGUAUCAUAACAUGGAUGUUAACUUUAAUUAGGAUUCCUAUACAUCUUAAGACUCUUUAUGUUUCUCUAAUAUAAUUUGUAAUAUAUUUUCAUUUCUAGUAAUGAUUUUUGGUUCUUCUUGGGAUUUGCAUAAUUAUUAGACUAUGUAUGAAUAAUUAAAUAUUGGAUAUGGAAUUUGGUAGUAAAAUUCAUUGGUACAUAUUUCACCACUUACUUCUGCUCUCGUCUCUUGCUCUCUAUCACUGAAUCAAUCUCUCUUCUUUUAGGGUUUAGGUUACCUGAUAAAAGCAUUUUUAUUAAUGUAUGUCUAGAUUGAUGAUAUAUGUAUAUAUUGGCCUGGUAUUGACAUUGACAAAUGUUUCCACUUUUGAACCCGCUCCUCUAAUAGUCUUUUACACUCUUAAAGGGUUUGCUGUUCCUGUGACAUCCUGACCCAAAAAUAAAAUGAAAUGUGAAUUUAAUUAAUUUCAGGAAUUUUUUUGAAUUUAUAAUUUUGCCAUCAGAGGUAUUUUGAUCAUUUUAUUAAUUCAGAAGAUUUCGGGGCAGGGACUGAUAUUUUUGUGUAAAUCGUAUCGAGAUGAGUAUCGAGACGAGUCAGUUACGGUCAAAACAAGUUCAAUGGCAUAACCGUAAUUUUUUUGAAGUGUGUUUUUAUUAAAUCUGAAACCCUACUCUCUCUUCUCUCCUGCGAACAGAACAUCUCCCCCCCCUCUGCUUUUUUGGCUUGCGACGGCAGCAAAUUCCCACCGUCGCCACCGCCACCAUACGCCGCCACUUGGGGCGGCACCGGUCCCGUUAGAACCGCCUCACUUCCCUCUUCGAUUCCCGACCGGUCCCAGCCUCGAUGUGCCUUCGUGGUCGCCGGAAACAGCCCUGAAACAGACCGGAUUUUUGACAGAUUUUCUCAAGCUCGUUUCGGGUGAUUCCGGCCACCAUUUCGGACGAUCCAGGUAUGAUUUUUCAACCUCUCGACGUGUUCUAGCUGCUGGUUGUGUUAGUUUUGAGAAAUUUCUGCGUUUAGCAAAUCAAACUAUACGGAUGCUAGAAUUCGAACUUAAAAUUUUGUCUAAAAGAAUAAAUACUCUAAAUCACAAUAUUAGUGAGUCUUUUGCAUGUAUAUUGUGUUUUUAAAAAAAUGGGGAACUAGGGCUUGUGAUGGUAAAUAUCUCAAUCUUAGAGACCAACCGGAACAAUGAAGCUAGAUGGUAGGCUGUAUGUUGGUCAUGUGCAUGGUGGUCGGUGCACCACCUGAACUGCGCAGAUUAUUUAGGCUAUAAUUAAGUUUGAUCAAUCUAUGCCUAACAGCAUUUAAGGGACUCAACUGUAACACCGACUUGCUCUCCCCAACUCCUACGCACGUGUUUGGCUCAUGUAAACUUUCUGUUCCCACCUGAAUUCACAUGUGUUUAAUAGGUGGUUACAUUUUCUUUUACCAUGUUACCAAGGUAAUUAUACUCACCUUAAUAUUAAUAGUUAAUGUAAUAAGUACACAUUAAUCCACAUGCUAGCCAUAGAUAACGAGUUUAUACAUAUAAUAUCAAUAGAUAAAACAUAACGAGUGAAGUGUAAACACUAUAUGAUAGUGUGACAAAUUUCACUCAAAAAUUACUCAUCAACACCAACAUAUUCAUCCAAUGAUCCGAUGAUAAGUCUUGUCACUCGACCUUCCAUUCACCCAAUUUCCUCUCUAUAUAAAUCACCAGACUAUGUUGCCUUACUACUCACCCAAGUCCCCAAACUAAUCAAGUGAAAUUUUCAUACACAAUUUUUUCUCUGAGCAUCAAAGUCAUUAUUUAUGGCUAGCUAUGCAUUGAUUAAGCUUGCUGUGUUUGUGGCCUUGUGCAUGGUGGUGAGUGUACCCAUAGCCUAUGCCAUAACAUGUGACCAAGUGUCCCACAACCUCGUUCCAUGCCUAGACUACUUGAGGAAUUGCGGUGCUGUCCCUGAACCUUGUUGCAGAGGAAUUAGCAACCUCAAUGACUUGGGAAGAACCACCGCUGAGCGCCGGACCAUUUGCAAUUGUCUGAAACAGAAUGCUCCUAGCUUGACCGGAGUUAAUCCAACCUUGGCAGAAGAGCUUCCCGCCAAGUGUGGAGUCAAUGUUCCUUACAAGAUUAGCCCCAACCCAAACUGCGCAAAGUACGUAUCAAAAACCCCACAGUGCUCAACUAGGGUUGCCUCAAAAUUUAAUCUAAUUUGACUGCCAACCAUUGCAUUUUGAUGUAACGGUUUUAUGUCAUCGAAACUCCAAAUUAAUUUGGUUUGCCACCAAGUGCUUCUUCAAAAAUUACUUUCAAAGUAACGCUUCUAUAAUUUAUAAGCGCUUUUAACUUAAUUUGCCAAACGUUUUGUCGUUAUUUGAUAGCGGUUUUAGUCAUUUUCAGAAACACUCGAAGAAUCCACUAGGUUUAUAAUCAAUUCCGAGUAUAUAAAUUUGGGUUGGCCCAUUUUAUUUUUGGGUGAGCGUUGGUCCAUUUAAGACAAGUGUUUUAUUAAUAGCCCAAACUCCAAUACGCAGCUGAAAACAUUAAUUAUUGGACACACCGCAGUGAUCUAGAAAGAAAAAGAUGCGCUGAGCUGGCAGCUCCAUAUCUACCACGUGUGAAAGUAGUAGAUGGCUUCCGGCGUCAUGUGGCGGUAAAAAGUCAAACGCAACACGUGGUCGACACCGCCAGUUACUUUCUCAAAUUGGCCACAACAGUUUUCUCGUUGGCAAGUGAUCGUAAAUAUACUCGCUUCUCAACGAGGCCACGCUUCCGCGUAACGUGACAUGGAAGCAUGCACGAGCAACAUAGCGAGUGUUAGUAGUUUAUAUACUCGAGCGAGUACGGUUUUAUCUGAUUCUCAAUUAUUGGAUUUUAUAAUGGGCUUCUGGGCUGCAAGUUUAAUUUAAUCAACAUGUCUAAGUGGUAAAAGAAAGCCGUCAGAUCUGAAUCUUGCGUGUGCUAAUAUGUUCAAACAGGAGCCGUUGGAUUAUCCAACACGCUGAUGAACGGCUAAGAUUCCUUUUUCAGCGGCGGUCUUUGAGGCCUCUCGGGCCUUUAAAAGGAGGUCAGAGGGGAGAGCACAUACUCAUCUAAGGCUUAAGAUCUCUCUCUUUCUCUCUCCUCCUCUUCCUAUCUCCCUCUCUUUUCUCUCUCUAUUCGACGAAGGGCUCUAGGGUUUGAGGCGCGUUUCAACGGCUCUGCAACGAGAUCGAGGUUUUGAAUUGGGUUCCUGCGAAGCAGUUCUAGGGUUUUGUUUUACCAAGCGCAUUCUAUUGGUCGUCACGCCCAUUCAUUUUAGCUUCGGCUUUGGCCCAUCCAUCGCGAUCUAGGGUUUUCAACCUGGGGGUUUAUAUAGAGAGAGACCCAGUUUAGGUUUUGCUCGUGUAAGUCUUUAAAUUAUUUUUUCUUCCUUGCAUUUAUAUGAGCUCUCUAUUUCUUAAAGGAGCUUUUUAUCUGAAAAGGGGGGUAUUGAGAGAUUGAGCAAUUGGAAUUACUUUCUUUUGGGUUAGUGGUUGAAUACGAGUGUUUGAAGAUUCCCAUUGCUUAGAUUGAGUUGGGGAAUCUAUCAAUUCUUUGGUGCUUAACCUAAUCCCUCAUUUAGAUCAUUAUCAGAAAUUUUUGUUCUUUUGCAUAUUGGCAACUGCGGCUUUUGAAUUUGAGCAUUGAUUGGACAUCAAAUAAACUGAAAUUUUGACCUUUGACGUAUUCCUUGAACUCGAACGCUUGGCGGGAAGUAAACAGGAAGAAGGAUCAUAUCAACAAUUGGUUAAUGUUGGAAAGUUUGGGGUUUUAAGUUUGAAAUUCUAUCGCCCUUGUCUUGGUGGCUACACCUCUUUGUUGUGUAUGUUGCUUGCUUGAUAGGUUAUGUUUUGCAUUGCCAUAGUGUAAACUGGAACAUGGUCUUCGCAACAAUUAAAGAAAAUAAGUGAAAUUCAAUUGUACCGAGUAGUAAUUAAUGCUUUAGAACCUUUGCCUUGGUUGCAGCACCUCGUUGUUGUGUAUGUUUCAGUUUGAGACACUUUUUUAUGUGAAUCCAUUAGUUCUACAUUGAGUUGAUAUCAUUGAAUUUGCAUGUCUUUUUAGGAGUAAGAGGUGGCAUCUUAAUCAUUCUGAAACUGGUAUUUCUGAUAUACAAUAGUACAUGUAAUUUCAAUGGCUC
RNAcentral lists this long non-coding RNA (14533 nucleotides) under Prunus persica (peach). RNAcentral's name for it is "long non-coding RNA (PPER_LNC005475)". The record is from RNAcentral. Lineage: Eukaryota; Viridiplantae; Streptophyta; Magnoliopsida; Rosales; Rosaceae.